Octopus sinensis (East Asian common octopus) is the source of this 442-nucleotide long non-coding RNA. RefSeq lists it as uncharacterized. The transcript is spliced from 2 exons. Lineage: Eukaryota; Metazoa; Mollusca; Cephalopoda; Octopoda; Octopodidae. The record is from RefSeq and is a predicted model, not a curated record.
GAGUUGACAGAAUCGUUACAACAUCAGAAAUAAUGCCUUGUGGUAUUUGUUUCAGCUGUUUACAUUAUGAACUCAAAUCCCACCAAUGUCAACUUUGUCUUUCAUCCCUAAGGGAUCAAUAAAAUAAUGUACCAAUCAAGCACUAGAGUCAGACACAACAUACACUUUUAAGCGGGCAUAAAUAUUAACUUUUACUAUUAUCACUAUGUUUCAUCUUGAAAUUAUAUUUGGCUUAUAUUCGAUGGAUCUGCAUAGGCACAGGAGUGGCUGUAUGGUAAGUAGCUUGCUUACCAACCACAUAGUUCUGGGUUCAGUCCCACUGCGUGGCACCUUGGGCAAAUGUCAUCCACUACAGCCUUAGGCCAGCAGUAUUGACUAAACACCUGACCUCAAAAUUGUUGUUGUUGAUGGCUAUGCUGUUAUAGAAACAAUAUAUGUCAAA